RNAcentral lists this ribosomal RNA (468 nucleotides) under uncultured bacterium. RNAcentral's name for it is "partial 16S ribosomal RNA". It matches the Rfam family "Bacterial small subunit ribosomal RNA", at positions 28 to 507 of the family's 1533-position model. The record is from RNAcentral.
GACGAACGCUGGCGGCGUGCUUAACACAUGCAAGUCGAGCGAACAGACCCUGCUUUUGUUGGGUGCUCGAGUGGCGCACGGGUGAGUAACACGUGAGUAACCUGCCCUUGACUUUGGGAUAACUUCAGGAAACUGGGGCUCAUACCGGAUAGGAGCUACUGCUGCAUGUUGUUGGUUGGUAAGUUUCGGCGGUUGUGGAUGGACUCGCGGCUUAUCCGCUUGUUGGUGUAGUAGUGGCUUACCAAGGCUGUGAAGGGUAGCCGGCCUGAGAGGGUGACCAGCGACAUGGGGACUGCGAGACGGCCCAGUCUCCUAUGGGACGCAGCAGUGGGGAACAUUGCAGAACGAGGGGAAGCGUGAUGUAGCAACGCCGCGUGCGGGAUGACGUGCUAUGGGGGGUAAACCGCUGUCGCCGUAGACGAAGCGGGAUUGACGGUAAUGGGUAAAGAAGCACCGGCUAACUACGUG